GAGUUUGAUCCUGGCUCAGAUUGAACGCUGGCGGCAGGCCUAACACAUGCAAGUCGAGCGGAUGACGGGAGCUUGCUCCUUGAUUCAGCGGCGGACGGGUGAGUAAUGCCUAGGAAUCUGCCUGGUAGUGGGGGACAACGUUUCGAAAGGAACGCUAAUACCGCAUACGUCCUACGGGAGAAAGCAGGGGACCUUCGGGCCUUGCGCUAUCAGAUGAGCCUAGGUCGGAUUAGCUAGUUGGUGGGGUAAUGGCUCACCAAGGCGACGAUCCGUAACUGGUCUGAGAGGAUGAUCAGUCACACUGGAACUGAGACACGGUCCAGACUCCUACGGGAGGCAGCAGUGGGGAAUAUUGGACAAUGGGACGAAAGCCUGAUCCAGCCAUGCCGCGUGUGUGAAGAAGGUCUUCGGAUU
Molecule: ribosomal RNA, 414 nt
Filed under: bacterium enrichment culture clone ALO1_GLFRUDD03GYOOD
Lineage: Bacteria
Description: bacterial SSU rRNA
Rfam family: Bacterial small subunit ribosomal RNA
Source: RNAcentral